GGUGAGGUGGCCGAGUGGCUGAAGGCGCGCCCCUGCUAAGGGCGUAUAUCUUAACGGGUAUCGAGGGUUCGAAUCCCUCCCUCACCGCCA
This 90-nucleotide transfer RNA is filed under the name Motiliproteus coralliicola. Its description in RNAcentral is "tRNA-Ser". It matches the Rfam family "tRNA". Rfam says of the family: Transfer RNA (tRNA) molecules are approximately 80 nucleotides in length. Their secondary structure includes four short double-helical elements and three loops (D, anti-codon, and T loops). Lineage: Bacteria; Pseudomonadati; Pseudomonadota; Gammaproteobacteria; Oceanospirillales; Oceanospirillaceae. The record is from RNAcentral.